Molecule: long non-coding RNA, 5698 nt
Filed under: Carassius auratus (goldfish)
Lineage: Eukaryota; Metazoa; Chordata; Actinopteri; Cypriniformes; Cyprinidae
Description: lncRNA (ENSCARG00000055933.1)
Source: RNAcentral
GUACAUGAUGACAGAAUUAAAAAAAUUGGGUGAACUAUCCCACUAAACAGUGAGCUUGUGCCAUUUAAGUCUGGUAAUUUCAGUUGUAAAUUUGAAUAAUAUAUGUAAAUGUUGAUUUGUGUUGUUUUUAUCCUCUACAGCUGAUCACAUUCAGAACACUGAUCCUACCUUCAAUGCUCCUGACACUAACUGUGAGGUGGCCUUUGCUCCAGAGACUGUUGGUGUGUACUUCAUUGUACACCAUUUUCAUUGUUUCCAUUUAUAUCUGACAGUGGGUUAGAAUGUUAAUAAAUGUUUUCUACAAGAGUGUUUUCUACAAGAUCUCCAGCACUCACUGAGCGAUUCCUCAGGUGAUGAGGCAUCACCUCUUGGAACCCCAAGAGAUCCUCUUCUGGCAUCUUCGAACUGGGGCAUUCAUCAGAGUCUCUUUUCAGAGAGGUGGAGGGCAGAGAGACCCCGUCUGGUAAACACGGCUGCAGCAAAAGAAAGUGUGGCAACACACAUCUGCCAGCAGUGUUGGAGCAGUCCAGCAGUUAUCCGGAGCAGUCACUUCUUCUGUGCUGAAUGUGACAUCAGCGUGCACACCAGACAUGUCCUCCACAAUAGAGAUGCCAUGACUGCUGGCUUCUUCCAGCCAUUGCCUCCAACAACUGUCGUGGUCGAUAAGGCUCUUUCCCAAUGUGUGCGGCUUGUACCUGUGGAAAUGCCUGACAAAAUCUGUGGUUGUUCACCAGAGUCAUUGAGGGUCAGUCCAGGAAAGACUGUUGCUGUGGUCACAAUGAAUGGACGAUAUGAUCUAAGCAUGCCCGAGUUAUUUUGUGAGGCAUGCCAAGCCACUUGGACUCCUGCAGUGGCCGACCUUAACAGCAGUGACUACUGGCCGGCAACUCUUCAGUUUGCCACAAUUUAUACUACCGAUAUAUUUUUCUCAUUUGAGGAAAUGAAGAUGGUGGCACCAGGACUGUCCUGUCAAGCAUUUUUAAGAAUGCUGGAUCAGCGAACUGUUCGCUUUGGUCGUGUGAGUAUUGAAUGUAUAAAUCCUGCAGUAUCGUUAAUGUAUUUGAAUUGUGGGCUGAAAACCUGUUUGAUGUUAAUGUAUUUGUUGUACAUGUAUAAGCUUUUGGUUUCUUUAUUUUUAAUAGACUGGCAAGAUCUCUGCAGACAGUUUUCAGAAAAGUUUUUUUGAGUGGGAGGCUGUGCGAUUUGAGGUGGACAGUAUAUGCAAGGAAGAGCCCUUCAUCUGCCCUGCAUGCUCCCCAAAUAUGCUCGCCGUUUCCGUAGAUGGAAACCGCAAGCAUUACCGUUUUAAGAAUGCUGCUAGGUACUUCAAACUGUGUCACAGUGUUCUUACAUAUUAAUAAGAUAACAUGGCUCUUUAUUAUGCACUAAGUAAUCUUACAUUAUAAGUUAUAGAGUUGUCGAAAAUACUGACUUAUAAAAAUUAUAAAAAAUUAUAAAAAUGUGACUGACACUUUUAGCGCUGAUCAUUUAAAGCCAUUCUCAGACAUAUCCAAUGAGUGUGUGAACACAAUGGCCAAUCAGAGGUGUUUAUGAAUCCGCUCAACAGCGCUCAAAGCAUUACGUUUUUUUAAAUUUCAGACUGGUACUGAAGUUAGUACUUAUGACAACUCUAAUAAGUUAUCAUAAACUGUUUUGUACCUUUGUUGUUGUUUUUGUUGUUGUUGUUUUUUUUAGAUCUGAGGAACAGGCCAUCUAGCCAAAGAUGAAGAUGUUACAAGAUUUGUGGACCACAUUCACAGCACAACCAAACAUGUAAAAAGUGUAUAUGAUGAUAAAUAAAACUACAAUACUACAGUAACCUCUUACUGAAGAGUUUGUUUAGAAGAGUCUUGUUUUCAUUGACCAUUAUCCAUGUUGUAGGUCAGUGGGAGAGGUGUUUGUGGAGGGGAGCCAGAGAGACCUCCCAAAGAUCUGCCAGCAAGGUAGAUGAAGAGGGAUUGGAGGUUGCGGUUUGUCGGCACGGAGUGCUUCUCUGUGCUUUAAAUAUGUACAGGGGUGAAAUUUUUGCCUAUCCCCUGUACCUUCAAGAAAACUUGGCCAGUAGGCAAGUCACUUUUUUUUUGUAUGGAUGUGACCUGCAAAUAUUGGCGCUACCUGCAAAGAGUUACAAAAAGCUGCCCAGAGCUCCAGCACCUCCUUAACAUGAGGCCAUUCCUUUCGGUAUUUCAUGCCAAAGCCCAUGAUUUUAAAUGUGAGGUAAGAAAAUGUUGCUAUGUGACAGAACCACAUUAUCUUAAACCAAACAUCAGCAAACAUCUUGUUCUUUGUUUAUUUAUGUUUUCUUACUCAGGUGAAAUGGAGUGGGUCGUAUCAGGAUGGGGCUGGACUAACACUAGGGGAGGAGGUGGAACAGUGCAAUGCCUUCCUCUCUAGGAUUGCAGUGACAACAAAACAUAUGUCAAAAGCAGGUAAGAUGACCACAUAGUGCUCUAGUUACAUAAUCACAUAAUAAUAUAUUUUAUGCAUCAUAUCUUUUGUGUUUGCAGGACGCACAGACAUGCUGACUCUCAUGGCCAUGCGCUGGAAUCAGCAAAAGUUCCGAAAUAUGGCAGUUUCACUGACUCGCCGAUAUCAGAAGGUAAUGACAACUGUAGAAUUGGUUUUACAUGGUCAGUAUUGUGUGUUUGCAGUGUAUGAAGCUGUGCAUUGAACAUUUGGUUCUUGUUUCUUGGUUCUGUGAUUGCUUGUCAUUGUAGACCAGAAAAGCUCUGCAAAGCCAGUUACAAAACCUAGAGUCCUUGAAAGCCCAAUUGGCAGUGACAGAGAGCUAACUGGAAGACUGGGUCAGUGAUGUAAAGGAGUGGGCAGGCGGUGAGGAAAUGAUUACUGUUAAACCUCAAGUUCAGAAUACUUAAAACAUUUAGGUAAACUAAUUUUUCAAGUUCAGAAUCACAGACACCCCAUCACUCCCACAGUUAUCAGCCUUACCCCACUCGUCAUAGUGUUAAUUACAAACAGCUAAUUUACAUAAACAUCACAUUCAGAUCUUGUUUCAAUGUUUGAUGGCAAAUAACACAUGCUAAUAUAACUAUCAAAGAGACUGUCAUUAUAUGUAUAUAAUCAAACAACAUACAGUACAUGUGGUUUCAAAAGUUUAGCAGCCCAUCCUCAACCAAAACACAUGCUCUACUCUUCACCACAGUGGUAACCCUACAAAACUAACUUAACAGAACCUCCUGUAAAUCCCAGAAUAAAUCAAUAUUAAAGAAUAGCCUAUGAUAAUCUGCAAAAACACACAAAAUAACACUUAAUUUCAACAUUUAUUUAUACUGUCUAACACAACGAAUGCAGGAAAUUAGAAAUGUGCUGCAAUUAAACUGCUUACUACAAUUAAAUUUUGAGUUCCAAAAACUUUUUUUUUUCUAUUAAAUACAGAGAACUUCCAUUAUUAUUUGAGUGAAACUAACUCAUUUCAUUUAAUUAAUUACACUGUUUGGUCUUACAGUGCACAAAUAAUUGUAAUGUUACUUUUAUUUUAAUUUAAACUGCAAACUACCUAUUUCUUCUCAGCAGCAAGAGUAACAACCACAAAUGAUGCUGAUGGCUUGGCCAGCAGAAUUGAGGUCCUGGUAGCGAGUAUCAAGAGACGUUCCCAUCGGCUCUACAAAGAUACCGAUGGGAACAAAGGUCGUGCCAGAAUCCGCCUCAAGAUCAGGGAGGAGAAGGGCAUCCUGACAUCUGAUGUGGAGAAAUACAACAGAAUGGUUCCAAGCACAGAAAGUCUUUGCUUGGAAACCAUUCUGUCUGGUGGGACAGCUUGGCCAUGGCAGCUACCACACAGUGGUGUGUACACUAGUCUGUUGACUGCUUCUGACAAAUCUGAUAUAUACAUUAUGACACAUUACCCACAAUGCUUCAAAUGUCAUUCUGUGACUUUUGUUUCUGUGAUUCUUUAAAGGUUGAUGUUUGAUACAUAUGAAUUAAGUCUUUCUCAUAAAUGCAUUCCAGACUCUGUCGAUCUAAGGACAAAAAGAAGAGCGUUUGACAUCAUCAUGUCAGUAAGAAGACUUGAGGAGGAGCUGAAGAUUCUUGUGGCAGAGAUGGACCACCACUGGAAAUCUCUUUCAACUAGUGCUGAUACCCUCAGAGAGCUGUCCCACAUGUUUGCCAGUGAGACAAUGAGAAGUAUGUAUUGUAUUUGUACAAAAAAUGGCAUAAACAUUUAGGGUUGCUAUGACCAUAGAUUUCCAACUGUCAGAAUAUUUUUAUUAUACAGUUAGUAAGAGUGAUCUGUUAACUAAAAUCUACUAAAGUGCAUAUUCCCAUAACUACAUAUAGGACAUGUCCUCUCUAAUCAUUAAAGUAAGUAGCCUAGUAAUUAAAAAAAUAUAUAUAUAUUAUUGAACGAUAAGUGGCUUUUAGCUCUAUAAGUCAUUACACUUGGCCUAAUUCUCCACUCCACUCCAACUGGUAGCUGAAAGUAGAGAAUGAUGCUUUCUUGUCCUUGAUGCCCUCGCAAUGCUCAAACUUUGAAUUUCCUUCAUGACAUUUACUAUCUAGUGAAAAUGAGGACCAGCCGUUUAAUCCAUAAUAGCUGUCCGUGACUGUCUGAUUAUCACCAAGACCUAUGGCUAUGUUUGGUUGUGUUGUUUGCAGGAAAAACAAUUAUUUGUCCAACUAUGGUCAUUCUGACUGACUAACAAUUCGUUGACUGUUUGGGGGCAGCCCUAAUAAAUAUACAUAACUAUGAUGUAUGUUUAUAAAGUUUCUAAAGCAUGCUUAAUGUUAUUUUGUUCCUCUUUUAAGAUUCACCAUGUUGCUUAAGUGAAGAGGGUUUGAAAGGUCUGCAGAGCAUCAUCCUGAGAAAGCAACAUAAAGUCAGAGAAAUGAAGGUGCAAGCAAGAGACUGUUACCUGCAAGUUUUGUCUGGAGAAGGCAACAUCAACUUUUUGUACAGUGCUUCAGCUGAUGAGUGUGACAGUGACUGUGAAAUGUCUGAUGACGGACUGUAAUCCACAAGACUGAGACACCUUUCAUCGUUCUGGACAAUGACCUUAACUCUGUAUAUAAAGAAUGUAAUAAAAUCUGCUUUUCAUCACCUUUAUAAAUGGAACCAAAAGUGUUGCCUCUUCUUUCACAUACAUAGAAAUGUGUGCAUGCAUGCCUCUAGAACCAGUAUGUGGUGGAAAUUAAGUGCAUUAAUUGAAGUAUUGUAUGGUACUUAGAGAUUUGAGGUAAGAGUUUCUUCUCAUCCAAACUUUAAUUUAUACUCCACUGCAAUUCAGAGAGAGAAAAAAUGCACUUGACAGCACAUGGAGAGCUUUUAAAUGACAUUUUGUUGCAAAAGAAACUUCUCAACAGUACAAUUAGUUGAUUGGCAGAAAAUGAAUUGCCAAAUAAUUUUCACGCAAAAACAUUUAAUGGUUCCAGCAUGUAUUUUUUUAAUUUGAGGUUUGAACUGUUCACAGCUUUUAUCGAUGCAUCUUUUUGGGGUUUUGUGUAAUUGUGUCUGUUUUUCUCAUUUUCAUACUUGCUCACAAACCAAACUCUUCAUUUGUUGAGAAAUAAAUAGAUUAAUUUAUGAAAAUAAUCAUUAGUGAACGUUGUGUACAAAAUAAUGAAUAAUAAUCUUGCAUGAGUAAUAAUAAUCUAAGGUUAUAUGAUUCACGGGGGGAAUGAAAUAUUAGAACACAGCUUGUGGCUGUGGAAGUGUAGAGUGUAUUUCAAAUAUAACAAC